GAUGAACGCUGGCGGCGUGCUUAACACAUGCAAGUCGAACGGAAAGGCCCUGCUUUCGCGGGGUGCUCGAGUGGCGAACGGGUGAGUAACACGUGAGUAACCUGCCUUUGACUUUGGGAUAACUUCAGGAAACUGGGGCUAAUACAGGAUAGGAGCUCCUGCUGCAUGGUGGGCGUCGGACAGUUUGGGCGGUUGGGGAUGGACUUGCGGUUUAUCAGUUUGUUGGUGGAGGAGUUGCUUACGAAGGGUUUGGCGGGUAGCCGGCCUGAGAGGUUGAACGGCCACAUGGGUACUGAGAUAGGGAGCAGAGUCCUACGGGGGGCAGCGGUGGGGAACAUGGCACAAUGGGCGCAAGCGUGAUGCGGAAGCGCCGCGUGCGGGAUGACGGCCUUCUGGUUGUAAACCGCUUUCGGCUGUGACGAAGCGUGAGUGACGGUAAUGGGUAAAGAAGCACCGGCUAACUACGUG
This 468-nucleotide ribosomal RNA is filed under the name uncultured bacterium. RNAcentral describes it as "partial 16S ribosomal RNA". It matches the Rfam family "Bacterial small subunit ribosomal RNA", at positions 28 to 507 of the family's 1533-position model. The record is from RNAcentral.